This 259-nucleotide ribosomal RNA is filed under the name uncultured eukaryote. RNAcentral's name for it is "partial 18S ribosomal RNA". It matches the Rfam family "Eukaryotic small subunit ribosomal RNA", at positions 624 to 886 of the family's 1831-position model. The record is from RNAcentral.
AAGCUCGUAGUUGAAUUUCGGCUCUGGCUGGGCGGUCCACCUUUGGAUGGUACUGCUCUGGCUGGGGUUUACCUUUCUGGUGAGCCGCCAUGCCCUUUGCUGGGUGUGGCGGGGAACCAGGACUUUUACCUUGAAAAAAUUAGAGUGUUUAAAGCAGGCCAAAUUGCUUGAAUACAUUAGCAUGGAAUAAUGGAAUAGGACCUCGGUUCUAUUUUGUUGGUUUCUAGGACCGAAGUAAUGGUUAAUAGGGAUAGUUGGG